Piliocolobus tephrosceles (Ugandan red Colobus) is the source of this 5079-nucleotide long non-coding RNA. The record is from Ensembl. Lineage: Eukaryota; Metazoa; Chordata; Mammalia; Primates; Cercopithecidae.
GAACACUAUUAAAGAGAAACUGUUUUUAUGUCUUUACAACUAUAUAAAGAAUGAGUUGUAUAUACUAUUAUGCAAAAAUAAUAUAAAUUUCCCUAUGUAUUAUGCAUAUAUAACUAAAUUAUUAAAUUUUUUAGGAGAGUAUGGAACUACCCAUGAACUUAUAAAUAAAAAAAUUGAUUCGAUGAAAGGUAUAUGUGAUGUAACUAUAACUAACGAAACAGAAAAAACAAAAAAAAAAAAAAAAAUAAGUACAAAUAAUUUAAGCGAAGAUAUUUUAAAAAACAAAAAUAUCUUAAGAAAACAAAAUUACGGAUAUGAAAAAUUAAAAAAUAAACAAGUGGAUAUCAUGUCUUAUUUGAAAGUAAAAAUGAAUGAAAAUAAUGAAAAUGAUAAUGAAGAGUUUAAAAAAGAAGAAAAAGAAAAUAUAUUUAUAAAUCAGAUUGUUAAAAAAUUAUAUCUUAUGAAUUUUAAAUUAAAUAAAGAAUAUUAUGAACAUUUUGGUUGUUUUAAAAAAUAUAAUUUAAAAAAUGUUAUUGAAGAAGAAAAGAAAAAAAAUAGAAAACAAAAUUCAGGUUUCAUAUUUGACGAUUUUGUCGAAAGUGAUCAUGACAAUGACUUGGUUGUUAAUUGGAAUGAUUAUCCGAGUGGUCAAAAUAAUGGAGAGGAUAGCGAUGGUGAUUGUGACAUUCCUUUGGACUUGCACGAACAAAAUAAGCAAUAUGAAGACAAUUUGUUUCUUCUAGAAAAGGAACAAACUGAUUUAAGCAACACAAAAAAAAAAAAAGUAAAAACAGAAGAGACAGGUGCUGAUUCAGUAAAAGACUCAAAGGUAGAGGAAGAGGGAGGGGUAGAAACAAAUAAACAAAAUCAGCCCAUCAAUAAACCGUACAUCUCAAGUGAUAAUAAUGUAAUGGGUAGUACCGAUUUGAGUAGAAAAACUAGUUCAAACCCAAUGGACUACUACGAUCUAUAUAGUACUUUUAUAAAUAAUAAUAUAAAAUAUUAUAAUCAUGUAAAAGAUAGUGAAACAAUACUUGGUGAUGUCGAUUUAUAUUUAUUUCUUUUGUUUUCCCAAAUAAUUAAUAAUAAUCUUGAAAACCAAGUGAAAGUAUUAGGAGAAAAUGUGUUUAUUAAACAAAUUGAAAAUUUUAAAAUGAUUAAUAACAUUGUUAAAAGAAUAAUAUUAAAUAAUAUGAUGAAAGAAAAACUAAAAUUUUAUUUUCUUACUUUAUAUAUUGUCAAAAUUAGUACAAUAAAUAUUUUUAAUGGUAACUCAACAGAUGACAUUUUUUUGAAUUAUUCAGUUUUGCUUAAGCUAUUAAAUAAUUUGUUAUUCUUUUCAUAUAUUCAAGAGAAAAAAAUGAAGGAUAGUAUGGAAAUAUAUGAAGGAGUAAACGUAAGGAGUAAAAGCGAAGGUAUGACAGGCACGAACGACGACAAGAGGCUAUGCAAAAACAGGAGUGUUAGUAGAAAAUACAAAAGCAAAGGAAAAGCAAGAGCAAAAGAAAAAGAAAGAACAAAAUCAGAAGUAAAAGCAGAAGCAAAAGCAGAAGCAAAAGCAGAAGCAAAAGCAGAAGUAAAAGCAGAAGCAAAAGCAGAAGCAAAAGCAGAAGCAAAAGCAGAAGCAAAAGACAAAGCAAAAGCAGAAGCAAAAGACAAAGCAAAAGACAAAGACAAAGACAAAGACAAAGACAAAGACAAAGACAAAGAGCACACAUUAGGCUACACAACAUAUUGCUACAACUACUUUUAUAAAUUAAAAAAAUUGCAAGAUCAAAAAAGUGGACAGCAUAAUAUAUACAGAUAUGAGUUGCAAAAAAAACAGAAAUCCCAAAUGAAAUGUACAUAUGACGAACUUUUUAAUAUUAUUAUUUAUUUUUUACAUAAUGAAAAACUACUAGCCAAUAACAGGGAUAAAUAUAUUAAAACUUUCAUAGAGCAACUAUUAAAAACUCCUAAAUUAUCUUUUUCUUUUUUUAUUUAUUUAAUUCUUUGGUUAAAUAACAUACAUGUACAUAUAGAUUAUCAAGGUUAUAUUAAUAACAGUAAAAAGGAUCAGUUAAUGUUGAUAAAAAAUGAAAGACAAAAAAACGACAUGCUCAGUUCGAACAAAAAUGAAGAAAUAAAAAAUAUAAAAUCAUCACUAUUAUAUUUUUGUGAAAAUGAUACACAAACAAAUGAAACAAGUCAAAUAAACACAUUGCAAAAUAGAGAUGAACAAAUUGAGGAAUUACACUUUGAAAAUAGUAGUAAUAGCAAAGAAGAAAAGGAUAAUACUAAUAAUGUAAAUAUGGGUUUGGGUAAAAUUGUAGGAGAAAAACAAACGGAUUUGCAACAUAGCUGUACAAACGUGGUAUCUUCAGAUAUAUCCUAUAUGGGCAUAUCCGAUUCGAACAUGUCUAGCACCAGUUUAUCCCACUUCGAAGUUGAGUCGAGUGAAAGCGAUGAAUACAUUUGGUCGGAUGAAGAAAAAAAUAGCGAACUAAAUAGUAUUACAAAAGAGAAAAAAACAAAUAAUAAUAACUGUGACAACUGUAAAUCACGGACAUUAAACUGCGUACAGCAUGAAUUGGAUAAAAAUUUAUUUGAUAUCAACUAUUAUAUUAAAUAUUCACAGAGACGGUCAAAUAGUGCUAAUUAUUAUAUUCUUAGUUUUUCAUUAAUUUCUAAUUUAUUAAAAAAGAAUCAAAAUAUAAAAGCAAAAAAAACUAUAUUAGCUAUAUAUAUGAAUACAUUAUUUCAAUCUAAUAAUGAAAUAAGAAUAAUUUUAAAAAAAUUAAUUACUGCUUCAAAAGGAAUUUAUAACAAUUCAUUAAAUUUUAUGGUAUAUACAAAAAGAAUAUAUAACUUUUAUCAUAAAGUUCUUAUUUUAUUUUUAUUAUAUAUAUGUAAUAUAUAUAUUCCUAACUUGAAAAAUGAUAUAGAUUAUUUUAUUCAUUUUGCUUUUUAUUUAUGGCCUCUAGAAUUAAUUAAUUUUAUUCAUAACUUUUUAGUUAACAAUUUUGCUUUUUUUUAUAAUAAUAUAGUAUCUCUUUUUGUAAAUUCGAAUCAAGUGGAAAUAUAUGAAAAAAAACUAAUUACUUCAAAAAAAAACUAUUCAAUUAUUAAUGAUAAAUUAAACGAGUAUGUAUCUAACCUUGACAAUACAAAUAUCAUGCAGUCAUUAGAGUCUUUUUUAAAAGAAACUGAUUUUUUUUUUAACGCUGAUAAAAACACAUUACAAAAAGAGGAUAGUAAGAAAAAUGAAAUGGUGCAUGAAAAGAAAGAAGACACACUAGUAAGUAUAUGUGAGGAAAUAAAAAAUGACAUAUAUGAAGAAUUACGAAAGGAAGAAAAAGAAUGUUUAUUAAAUGAUGUGAUAUCUCAAAAGGCAUUACUCGAAGAGAUUUUCGUCAAUUUGUUUUUAAAAAGUGUCAAUUUAUUAGAAGAUAAAAAGUUAAUUGUAAAAAUAAAAAAAGCAAAUAUUUUUUUUAAUUUUUUAAGUAUUAAUUAUGUUAGUAAGUUAUGUAAAUUUAUUUUAACAAAUAUAGAAAAAAGUUAUGAAAAAAAUAAAAAUGAAUUUUGGUUAAAUUUUUAUAUUCUACUGAAUGAAACAUCAGAAGAUAAUAAAAACAAAACAAAAGAUCAAAUAAAAGUUGUAGAAUUACGACAAAUAUCAAACUUUUUUUUAAACGCAAUUGAUAACUUUUUAAGUAUAUGUGUUAGAUCAACUAUGUUUUUCCAUUUCUAUUUAUUAACUUAUAAUAAUUGUAGUAAGAAAGAAGUAAAGGAGGUUUUAUUGAGUAAGUUUAUUUUGACCUUGCCGUUACUUAAUUCGCUAUACCAUGAAGAAAUAUAUAGAAUAUUAAAAUAUAACAACAAGGUGAGUAAUGAGAGCAGUGAUGUUGAUAGAGAUCAAACGAGUGAAUUAGCGGAGGGGGGAAAUAAGGUCGAACUAGCGGAGGGGAUAAAUAAGGACAAACUAGCAGAGGGGAUAAAUAAGGACAAACUAGCAGAGGGGAUAAAUAAGGUCGAACUAGCGGAGGGGAUAAAUAAGGUCGAACUAGCGGAGGGGAUAAAUAAGGUCGAACUAGCGGAGGGGAUAAAUAAGGACAAACUAGCGAAAGAGGUGAAUAACACCGAAGUUGUUGAAAAAACAAACGACGAAAACAAUUUAAAUAAAAACAAUUUAUUUCAUAUUAACAUAGAAAUUGUUAAAUACAUAAGUAAAAAUUUAUAUGAACAUGCUUCAGGGUGUAGUAAUAGUACAUGGGAAACUCAUUUACAUUUUUUAAAUUUUUGUUAUAAUUUAUAUCUCGAAAAUAAUAAUAUAUAUUUUAUUAUUGAAUUAAUUGCAUUUUUAAAAAAAGAGCAAAUCUUAUAUAUACUAAAUGAAAUAAUAAAAAAUGAUUUGGAAGAAAAUAAAAAAAUUGAAAUAUUAAAAAUUUGUUUUAAUAAUAUUAUUAAAUUACCAUAUUCAUAUAUUUUGGAAAAACAAAAUGAGAAUGAAUCUUAUUAUAUAACGAAUAUUGAUAUAUUUUAUUUUUUUUAUAAUUUAAAUAAAAAUAAAAAUAUUCAAAAAGUUAUGUUAGAUUAUUUUGUAACUAAAGUUAAUAUAAAUAAUACAGUCAAAGAUCAAGAACAGAAUAAAAAUUUUAAUAGCAUUUCAAUAAAAGAUGUAGCUAAUAUAAUACAACAAGUGGCUGAAAGCUGUGAUACCAUAUUCCCUAUAUAUGGAAGAUUCUUAUGUCAAAUUACUAAAAAUAUAAUUAUAUUAAGAGAAUUUAUAAGUAGCAUUAUUAUUCCUUUGUUAAUACAAAAAAAAAUAUGGACAAGUAAAUUUUUAUGGAAAGGCUGUUUAAUGUGUAUACAUAUGCUUUGGUCCGACUUCAAGCAUUCUUUAUUUUACAUCUUUUUUAUGUUACCACAGUAAGUUAAAAUUAAAUGAACAAAUGGUUUAAUGAUCGAAUAUUUAAUAUAAAUAUGUACAUAUUUUUGCAUGUAUAGGUGCGUCUUUACACUUAUAUAUAUUUUUCGUACAAAUGAUUUUUUUUAUGAAAUAUUUUAUUUUUUUAUUUUAUUUUUUUUUUUUUUACGCAU